This 73-nucleotide transfer RNA is filed under the name Escherichia coli. RNAcentral's name for it is "tRNA-Gly". It matches the Rfam family "tRNA". Rfam says of the family: Transfer RNA (tRNA) molecules are approximately 80 nucleotides in length. Their secondary structure includes four short double-helical elements and three loops (D, anti-codon, and T loops). Lineage: Bacteria; Pseudomonadati; Pseudomonadota; Gammaproteobacteria; Enterobacterales; Enterobacteriaceae. The record is from RNAcentral.
GGGUAUCGUAUAAUGGCUAUUACCUCAGCCUUCCAAGCUGAUGAUGCGGGUUCGAUUCCCGCUACCCGCUCCA